This 497-nucleotide ribosomal RNA is filed under the name uncultured bacterium. RNAcentral describes it as "partial 16S ribosomal RNA". It matches the Rfam family "Bacterial small subunit ribosomal RNA", at positions 28 to 507 of the family's 1533-position model. The record is from RNAcentral.
GAUGAACGCUGGCGGCGUGCCUAAUACAUGCGAGUCGAGCGAACGGACGAGAAGCUUGCUUCUCUGAUGUUAGCGGCGGACGGGUGAGUAACACGUGGAUAACCUACCUAUAAGACUGGGAUAACUUCGGGAAACCGGAGCUAAUACCGGAUAAUAUUUUGAACCGCAUGGUUCAAAAGUGAAAGACGGUCUUGCUGUCACUUAUAGAUGGAUCCGCGCUGCAUUAGCUAGUUGGUAAGGUAACGGCUUACCAAGGCAACGAUGCAUAGCCGACCUGAGAGGGUGAUCGGCCACACUGGAACUGAGACACGGUCCAGACUCCUACGGGAGGCAGCAGUAGGGAAUCUUCCGCAAUGGGCGAAAGCCUGACGGAGCAACGCCGCGUGAGUGAUGAAGGUCUUCGGAUCGUAAAACUCUGUUAUUAGGGAAGAACAUAUGUGUAAGUAACUGUGCACAUCUUGACGGUACCUAUUCAGAAAGCCACGGCUAACUACGUG